This 465-nucleotide ribosomal RNA is filed under the name uncultured bacterium. RNAcentral describes it as "bacterial SSU rRNA". It matches the Rfam family "Bacterial small subunit ribosomal RNA", at positions 338 to 795 of the family's 1533-position model. The record is from RNAcentral.
CCUACGGGUGGCAGCAGUGGGGAAUAUUGGACAAUGGGCGAAAGCCUGAUCCAGCCAUGCCGCGUGUGUGAAGAAGGCCUUCGGGUUGUAAAGCACUUUAAGCGAGGAGGAAUGGCUGAGGGUUAAUAGCCUUCAGCAGUGACGUUACUCGCAGAAUAAGCACCGGCUAACUCUGUGCCAGCAGCCGCGGUAAUACAGAGGGUGCAAGCGUUAAUCGGAAUUACUGGGCGUAAAGCGCGCGUAGGCGGUUACGUAAGUUGGAUGUGAAAUCCCCGGGCUCAACCUGGGAAUUGCAUUCAAAACUGCGUGGCUAGAGUGUGGGAGAGGAAGGUAGAAUUCCAGGUGUAGCGGUGAAAUGCGUAGAUAUCUGGAGGAAUACCGAUGGCGAAGGCAGCCUUCUGGCCUAACACUGACGCUGAGGUGCGAAAGCAUGGGGAGCAAACAGGAUUAGAUACCCCAGUAGUC